RNAcentral lists this ribosomal RNA (170 nucleotides) under Trichuris trichiura (human whipworm). RNAcentral describes it as "partial large subunit ribosomal RNA". Lineage: Eukaryota; Metazoa; Nematoda; Enoplea; Trichinellida; Trichuridae. The record is from RNAcentral.
CUAACUAACAAAUAACAUUAACAAAAAAAAAUUACCCCAGGGAUAACAGCACAAUAAUCAUUGAGAGAUCUCAUCCAAAUGAUUGAUUAUGACCUCGAUGUUGAAUCAUUUGUAUAUAUAGUUUGCAGAAGAACCUUAUUUCCGUCUGUUCGACGAUAGAGCAUUACGUG